GAUGAACGCUGGCGGCGUGCCUAAUACAUGCAAGUCGAGCGAACGGACGAGAAGCUUGCUUCUCUGAUGUUAGCGGCGGACGGGUGAGUAACACGUGGAUAACCUACCUAUAAGACUGGGAUAACUUCGGGAAACCGGGGCUAAUACCGGAUAAUAUUUUGAACCGCAUGGUUCAAAAGUGAAAGACGGUCUUGCUGUCACUUAUAGAUGGAUCCGCGCUGCAUUAGCUAGUUGGUAAGGUAACGGCUUACCAAGGCAACGAUGCAUAGCCGACCUGAGAGGGUGAUCGGCCACACUGGAACUGAGACACGGUCCAGACUCCUACGGGAGGCAGCAGUAGGGAAUCUUCCGCAAUGGGCGAAAGCCUGACGGAGCAACGCCGCGUGAGUGAUGAAGGUCUUCGGAUCGUAAAACUCUGUUAUUAGGGAAGAACAUAUGUGUAAGUAACUGUGCACAUCUUGACGGUACCUAAUCAGAAAGCCACGGCUAACUACGUGCCAGCAGCCGCGGUAAUACGUAGGUGGCAAGCGUUAUCCGGAAUUAUUGGGCGUAAAGCGCGCGUAGGCGGUUUUUUAAGUCUGAUGUGAAAGCCCUCGGCUCAACCGUGGAGGGUCAUUGGAAACUGGAAAACUUGAGUGCGGAAGAGGAAAGUGGAAUUCCAUGUGUAGCGGUGAAAUGCUCAGAGAUAUGGAGGAACACCAGUGGCGAAGGCGACUUUCUGGUCUGUAACUGACGCUGAUGUGCGAAAGCGUGGGGAUCAAACAGGAUUAGAUACCCUGGUAGUCCACGCCGUAAACGAUGAGUGCUAAGUGUUAGGGGGUUUCCGCCCCUUAGUGCUGCAGCUAACGCAUUAAGCACUCCGCCUGGGGAGUACGACCGCAAGGUUGAAACUCAAAGGAAUUGACGGGGACCCGCACAAGCGGUGGAGCAUGUGGUUUAAUUCGAAGCAACGCGAAGAACCUUACCAAAUCUUGACAUCCUUUGACAACUCUAGAGAUAGAGCCUUCCCCUUCGGGGGACAAAGUGACAGGUGGUGCAUGGUUGUCGUCAGCUCGUGUCGUGAGAUGUUGGGUUAAGUCCCGCAACGAGCGCAACCCUUAAGCUUAGUUGCCAUCAUUAAGUUGGGCACUCUAAGUUGACUGCCGGUGACAAACCGGAGGAAGGUGGGGAUGACGUCAAAUCAUCAUGCCCCUUAUGAUUUGGGCUACACACGUGCUACAAUGGACAAUACAAAGGGCAGCGAAACCGCGAGGUCAAGCAAAUCCCAUAAAGUUGUUCUCAGUUCGGAUUGUAGUCUGCAACUCGACUACAUGAAGCUGGAAUCGCUAGUAAUCGUAGAUCAGCAUGCUACGGUGAAUACGUUCCCGGGUCU
Molecule: ribosomal RNA, 1372 nt
Filed under: uncultured bacterium
Lineage: Bacteria
Description: bacterial SSU rRNA
Rfam family: Bacterial small subunit ribosomal RNA
Source: RNAcentral